RNAcentral lists this ribosomal RNA (291 nucleotides) under uncultured microorganism. RNAcentral describes it as "partial 16S ribosomal RNA". It matches the Rfam family "Bacterial small subunit ribosomal RNA", at positions 505 to 796 of the family's 1533-position model. The record is from RNAcentral.
GUGCCACCAUCCGCGGUAACACGCACGUGGCAAGCGUUGUCCUGAUUACUGAGCGGCAAAGGGAGCGCAUGUGGUUUCUUAGUCUGAUGUGAAAGCCCACGGCUUAACCGUGGAGGGUCAUUGGAAACUGGGAAACUUGAGUACAGAAGAGGAAUGUGGAACUCCAUGUGUAGCGGUGGAAUGCGUAGAUAUAUGGAAGAACACCAGUGGCGAAGGCGACAUUCUGGUCUGUUACUGACACUGAGGCUCGAAAGCGUGGGGAGCAAACAGGAUUAGAUACCCUGGUAGUCC